Molecule: ribosomal RNA, 75 nt
Filed under: Clostridium botulinum
Lineage: Bacteria; Bacillati; Bacillota; Clostridia; Eubacteriales; Clostridiaceae
Description: partial 23S ribosomal RNA
Rfam family: Bacterial large subunit ribosomal RNA
Source: RNAcentral
UUGAUAGGUCAGAGGUGUAAGUAUGGCAACAUAUUUAGCUGACUGAUACUAAUAGGUCGAGGGCUUGACCAAUAA